Molecule: ribosomal RNA, 488 nt
Filed under: uncultured Lachnospiraceae bacterium
Lineage: Bacteria; Bacillati; Bacillota; Clostridia; Lachnospirales; Lachnospiraceae
Description: partial 16S ribosomal RNA
Source: RNAcentral
UACGUAGUUAGCCGGGGCUUCUUACUCAGGUACCGUCAUUUUCUUCCCUGCUGAUAGAGCUUUACAUCACGAAUGACUUCUUCACUCACGCGGCGUUGCUGCAUCAGGGUUUCCCCCAUUGUGCAAUAUUCCCCACUGCUGCCUCCCGUAGGAGUUUGGGCCGUGUCUCAGUCCCAAUGUGGCCGUUCACCCUCUCAGGCCGGCUACUGAUCGUCGCCUUGGUGGGCUUCUACCCCGCCAACCAGCUAAUCAGACGCGGAUCCAUCUUACACCACCGGAGUUUUUCACACUGAGCCAUGCGGCUCUGUGCGCUUAUGCGGUAUUAGCACCUAUUUCUAAGUGUUAUCCCCCAGUGCAAGGCAGGUUAUCCACGCGUUACUCACCCGUCCGCCACUAAGUUACGAAUCACUAGGUUUCAUCGUAACUCCGUUCGACUUGCAUGUGUUAGGCACGCCGCCAGCGUUCAUCCUGAGCCAGGAUCAAACUCU